CUCUGUCGGGUCUGAGGUAUGUCACAUGACCAAGUUAGUGUUUUACAAUUGGCUGUCUGCCUGCCUUAUCGACACUCGCUGACCAACACAACAGCACACACCCGUUUGGGAGGUUUUGGUUUCUGACGUGUUAACUGGCUGUCUGGCCCACUUGAACGUUGUGUGUUGUGCGUCUGUGUGAAUGAACUCCCGAUGAAUGUAUAUGUGUGUCCCACUUUUAUUUUAUUUUAUUUCUUUGAACGAGCACUUGUGCACUUUAUCUGAAUUAUUGUAUUUAUCUUCUUUUUUGCUAUUCAUGAUCUGUUGCGAUAAAAAGAGUUUGGCUCCAAAACAUAAAAAAAUCUAUUCAUUGUCUUAUUUGUCAUUCAGUAUUUUUAACUUCAAUGACAUUUAAGGUGUUUUUAAUCAAUUUUGUGAUGAAAAUACUGUAGUUUUUUAGUUUCUUUUUUUUUAAUAUUCUGUAAUUUAUGUUGUUCUAAUCAUUCAUACAAGUCAUUGUGACUUUUGGAGCCAAACACUUUAAAUACUGAUGCCGAUAAGCUUUUCUUAAUCAUAGCUUGACUUGUUUCUUAGCUUUGUAUCACCUCUGUGCUUCUGUUUUCUUAAAAAAGAAAAAAAAGAAAAAAAAAAGGUUUCCCCACCAGGUUUUUCCUUGAACCUGUGAGGAAUCAACCCGGGAGCCUUUUCAUCUCAGAGUAGCUUUAUGGAUUUAGCUGCUUAUGUGAUUUGGCAGUGCUUUGUUUGGUCUACACUUAUCACUAGUUUCUGCCUGCCUGCCUGUAAGAAACCACAUGAAUGUACCACGGAUGGAAACCCCAACUUCCUGAAAGAGUCUGAAUGAGUGUUAAAGGAUGGAUAUAGGUGGUCCUGAUCUUAUUUGAAAAGGUUAGCAUUUAUAGAUAGCAAUAUUUAAGUGUUAUUAUACUGUUUGUGUAUUUCCUGUCACUGUUAAAAGCCCCGAAAUUGUGUGGGGAUCGACACGCAGGACUGUGAAAGACAACUUGUGGACCUUUGGGGACAAAAUAAAUAAACACAAACUGAUGUUGCA
This is a long non-coding RNA of Astatotilapia calliptera (eastern happy), 1048 nucleotides long. NCBI's taxonomy places the organism in Eukaryota, Metazoa, Chordata, Actinopteri, Cichliformes, Cichlidae. The record is from Ensembl.